Molecule: long non-coding RNA, 681 nt
Filed under: Gadus morhua (Atlantic cod)
Lineage: Eukaryota; Metazoa; Chordata; Actinopteri; Gadiformes; Gadidae
Description: lncRNA (ENSGMOG00000033112.1)
Source: RNAcentral
AUGCUGGACGGGAUUCUCCUUUGUUACUGCAUUAUUGUGACAGCCCUGUUUUUCAAUAUCAAGUAUUUUCCUAAACAAAUGGAUCUUCAAAGCGAAGGGGGCAAUGUGGGUCAGCCUGUCAUUGAAUUACAAGAAAUGAAACAAUCUCGUAAGAAAAAGAAGCGCCAAGUUGAUGGGGUAAGCAACAAUUCUCAUGUUCCAAGUCUCCCCUUGAAGACACCUGAAGGGUAUGUGGUGUACAGAGGAAGUAAAAUGUUUAGACAAGCAACAACUUGGGUUUGUGGCAAUACCCCAUUUUUGAUUAUUCAAUCACUUCAGUAGGCUCACACCAGUACAAUAUAUGGUAUAUAUAAUAGGUAAUAUAUAUAUACAAGGUUGGUCAAUUUCUUGGUAAAAAGGUGUUCCGACAUAUUUUUUUUAUGAUUCCUCAACAUGGGUAUUUCUCUCCCCAGUCAAAUCGCAUCAGCACUAUGGACGCCUAUGAGUCGCUGCCUUCCAGUAGCGCCGCGGCCGCCCCUCAGUUGCAUCAUCGCUGACGUCUGCAGUUACGCUUGGUUUUAGUUGGACAUGCAUUUCCAAUUGAUUUCCCUUUUAAUUUAAAUGUUCUGUAAAGCUAUCCUCUUGAAUCUUCUUUCGGCCGUUCCCAUGUAAGCCUAUACAUACAAUACUCCUGCAUAAGAA